CGUGCUAUUACAUGCAGUUGAGCGCUGAGGUUGGUACUUGUACCGCUCUGGAUGAGCAGCGAACGGGUGAGUAACGCGUGGGGAAUCUGCCUUUGAGCGGGGGACAACAUUUGGAAACGAAUGCUAAUACCGCAUAAAAACUUUAAACACAAGUUUUAAGUUUGAAAGAUGCAAUUGCAUCACUCAAAGAUGAUCCCGCGUUGUAUUAGCUAGUUGGUGAGGUAAAGGCUCACCAAGGCGAUGAUACAUAGCCGACCUGAGAGGGUGAUCGGCCACAUUGGGACUGAGACACGGCCCAAACUCCUACGGGAGGCAGCAGUAGGGAAUCUUCGGCAAUGGACGAAAGUCUGACCGAGCAACGCCGCGUGAGUGAAGAAGGUUUUCGGAUCGUAAAACUCUGUUGGUAGAGAAGAACGUUGGUGAGAGUGGAAAGCUCAUCAAGUGACGGUAACUACCCAGAAAGGGACGGCUAACUACGUGCCAGCAGCCGCGGUAAUACGUAGGUCCCGAGCGUUGUCCGGAUUUAUUGGGCGUAAAGCGAGCGCAGGUGGUUUAUUAAGUCUGGUGUAAAAGGCAGUGGCUCAACCAUUGUAUGCAUUGGAAACUGGUAGACUUGAGUGCAGGAGAGGAGAGUGGAAUUCCAUGUGUAGCGGUGAAAUGCGUAGAUAUAUGGAGGAACACCGGUGGCGAAAGCGGCUCUCUGGCCUGUAACUGACACUGAGGCUCGAAAGCGUGGGGAGCAAACAGGAUU
Molecule: ribosomal RNA, 751 nt
Filed under: Lactococcus lactis
Lineage: Bacteria; Bacillati; Bacillota; Bacilli; Lactobacillales; Streptococcaceae
Description: bacterial SSU rRNA
Rfam family: Bacterial small subunit ribosomal RNA
Source: RNAcentral